UUCAUCUUUUGGCCAAAUAGC
This 21-nucleotide non-coding RNA is filed under the name Arabidopsis thaliana (thale cress). Lineage: Eukaryota; Viridiplantae; Streptophyta; Magnoliopsida; Brassicales; Brassicaceae. The record is from RNAcentral.